RNAcentral lists this transfer RNA (35 nucleotides) under Galbulimima belgraveana. Its description in RNAcentral is "partial tRNA-Leu". Lineage: Eukaryota; Viridiplantae; Streptophyta; Magnoliopsida; Magnoliales; Himantandraceae. The record is from RNAcentral.
GGGGAUAUGGCGAAAUUGGUAGACGCUCCGGACUU